This 918-nucleotide small RNA is filed under the name Pan troglodytes (chimpanzee). RNAcentral's name for it is "retained intron". Lineage: Eukaryota; Metazoa; Chordata; Mammalia; Primates; Hominidae. The record is from RNAcentral.
GAAAUUCCCGGGCCCUGGCUUCUUGACGCGAUGAGGUUCCGGUUCUGUGGUGAUCUGGACUGUCCCGACUGGGUCCUGGCAGAAAUCAGCACGCUGGCCAAGAUGUCCUCUGUGAAGUUGCGGCUGCUCUGCAGCCAGGUACUAAAGGAGCUGCUGGGACAGGGGAUUGAUUAUGAGAAGAUCCUGAAGCUCACGGCUGACGCCAAGUUUGGUGAGUAUCCCGCUGAGUCUAUAAGCCCCAGGCAACCCUGGGAACUUGGCCUGGUGCCUGGUACAGAGUGGCCCCCCACCCCUCCCAGCAGCAUCCUUAACUUACCUUCCCUAGUGGAGGAGCAUGAGGGAAAGAAAGACCGACAGUCCCACCUUCCUGUCCUCUGUCAGCUCCUGGUGGAGCAGUAGCAGUGCCUGUGGCUCCAGGAGGCCUGGGGGCUUUGAGCUAAAGUUAAUAGGGCAACAGGGAGGUGGCUGGACCCACAGUGACACCCCCUGCCCCACCCACGGGUCCCUCAGAGUCAGGCGAUGUGAAGGCCACAGUGGCAGUGCUGAGUUUCAUCCUCUCCAGUGCGGCCAAGCACAGUGUCGAUGGCGAAUCCUUGUCCAGUGAACUGCAGCAGCUGGGGCUGCCCAAAGGUACGGGUUGUGGGUUGGCAGCUGGGCAGCCUGUCGGCCAAGGGCUGCUAGAGAGGGGACAGGCCCUGAGGUGUACCCUGCCCUGUUUGGGCCAGGAGCCCAAGCCCAGCCCCCACCUGCUACCUCCAGAGCUUCUCCAUUCUACCCCCAGAGCACGCGGCCAGCCUGUGCCGCUGUUAUGAGGAGAAGCAAAGCCCCUUGCAGAAGCACUUGCGGGUCUGCAGCCUACGCAGUAAGUAUGAGGCCAGCCAGGGUCCGGGCUCAUUCUAGAAGGUGCACGCAGCACGC